This is a long non-coding RNA of Cucumis sativus (cucumber), 1906 nucleotides long. RefSeq lists it as uncharacterized. The transcript is spliced from 2 exons. Lineage: Eukaryota; Viridiplantae; Streptophyta; Magnoliopsida; Cucurbitales; Cucurbitaceae. The record is from RefSeq and is a predicted model, not a curated record.
UUUAAAAAUUUAAAGACGAAAUUACUAUUUUAACGAAAGCAAAAGUGAGUAAAUGUGAUUUUUAACCUUCAAUUUAUUUGGUUUUUUUUGACAAGUAACCUUAAAAAGUUAAUCAAAUUUGAAAUUAAUUACAUUCAACGAUCUAAAAUUGAUAGUAUAAAAAUACCAAUCCAUUGAAUUAACCGCCAUUUUUCAAUCAAUAUGCUUCUUCAACUGCUGCAUGUAAACCCUAACACACUGCAUUUCAUUCGCCGCAUUCCAAUCCGCGAUCGGCGGCAGUAUCUCUUCAAUCAACUCCGAUGAAAAUGAAACUCAAGGAAAAGUAAUGAACAAAUUAGACAUUUCAUUAUGGCUUGAUUGGAAUCCUAUCUGAGUGUGGUGGACCUGGUGGUGAUAGAACUUGAUCAUUAAAUUGUGAGCGGCAAUGGUAAGGUGGGACAGAUGGAAAAAACACAAUUUCUUUGGGCCACCGACAACCAUACAACACUCAUACAGAUUAUAGACAGAUAUCCUCAUAAAAUUCUUGAAGAAACAUGCUUUACAGAUAAGGAUACAGAGUAACAACCACAUGGAGCAAGUAAGUUAUUUUUAAUUUUUACUUAGCAGCUUUAUUCUUUGCUACUUUCAAGGAAACAGAGAAAAAUAACCCUUCAAAAUCAGUAACCCUGGUACAAAUAUAUAUACACACGCACACCCAUACACACAGAUAAUAAACUAUUGCAGCAUAUGCACAUAAGGAAAAAGGCAUUUAAACUUUUUUGUUUGUUUUUUAUUUUUUUUGCUAAAUACUUGAAGCAAUGAUAGAAAGGACUUUCAACAUUUAGCCACCUCAUAGGAUAGGUCUGAAUCAUCAGUUUGUUGUGUGGUCUACAAUUGAUAUAGGCUCUUGAUGAGUACACAUUGGGGACAUAGUGAUAAAAACUUAGCUUAGCAUUGAAGGUUUGCCUGUUUUUCAUUAUUGCUUCUUUGAGAUGGGAUAUUGACUUUUUUUACACUGAGAUUUACUGAAAACCGGAAACUUCUUUCCUUUCAAUAAUGAAUCAAAUAAUGGAUAAUGAAGGUCAAUGAACCAAGCUGGAGUCUGAAUUAACAACAUUUGUGAAAGAAUAGAAUCUUCUUGGAUAAAAUAAUAUAAGAAAAGGGAAGAAAAAAAAAGCAAUUGGGUUUAGAUUAUUAUAUGAAAGGAGUUGUCAUCUUUCUUUUGUUAUAGGCAACAUGGUAUAGAGUAGAGUCUAUAUCAAGUACAGUUGGAUUUUCCUUUCUCCGUUAAAACUCUAAUCCCACUUUUCUUUUUCUUUUUCUUUUUUGAAAAAACAUGAAAAAUAAUUGAAAUGGGGUUGUGUUGAAGAGAUUUGGACUGGGAUAGAGAUAGAGAUAGAGAUAGAGAUAGAGAUUGGAUUAUGAAGGAGUAGGUGAUGGCCAUCCACACAUUUAAUCCCUAUCUAUAGAAUUGACAGUUUGAUAAUACUAUUCUCUUGUUUCUUCUCUCUAUCAGAUUGUACAUUAUAGGGUGAGAACUUGCAGCCUUUUAACACGAAACAAAGACAUCUUAACCACAACAAAUACUUAAGAUUUCUUAUAAGAAGCCAAAGAAUAAAGUACAUGCGUAAUUUGCAGCUACACAUGCUCAAAAUCAAAUUUAUUAUAUCCCUAAUUUUAGGGUAUACAUCCAUUAAACUCCAAACUUAUAAUAUAAGUGUAUAAUUGGUGGACGAUGGUGUAGAUUUUAUUUUGGGAAGCUGCUUUUCAUAGUUAAGUUGCUUACUUAAUUAAAUUAUGCUCUCUUAUUACUUCUUUCACAAUGUCUAAUUACAUACAUACAACUUAAAAAUGAACAAUGAUACAAACAAAUUAUACAAAUCCCAAAAGAAGAUCAAGAAAAACAACAAGAAACAAUAAAAAUGAA